UCAAGUUAUGAAGGGCGCAGGGUGGAUGCCAUGGCACUGGACGCCGAAGAAAGACGUGGUAAGCUGCGAAAAGCCACGGGGAGCCGCAAGCAGGCUUUGAUCCGUGGAUGUCUGAAUGGGGAAACCCGGCGGAAGUAAUGUUCCGUCAUCCGUGAAUGAAUCCAUAGUUCACGAGAAGGGCACCCGGGGAACUGAAACAUCUAAGUACCCGGAGGAAAAGAAAGAAACAUCGAUUUCGUGAGUAGCGGCGAGCGAAAGCGAAGGAGCCCAAACCAUCCGACUACGGUUGGAUGGGGUUGUGGGUCAGCAGAACGUACGAGGAAAUCUAGGAGAAGAGUUCUGGAAAGGACUUCCAAAGAGGGUAAGAGGCCCGUAUCCGAAAGGUUGAAUCGGCAAGCUGAUACCAGAGUACCACAGGACACGAGGAAUCCGGUGGGAAGCAGGAGGGACCACCCUCCAAGGCUAAAUACGAUCCAGUGACCGAUAGCGCAUAGUACCGUGAGGGAAAGGUGAAAAGAACCCCGGGAGGGGAGUGAAAAAGAACCUGAAACCCUGUGCUUACAAGCAGAGAGAGCACGAUUAAGUGUGAUCUCGUACUUUUUGUAGAACGGACCGGCGAGUUACGUUAUGCAGCGAGGUUAAGAACUGAAGGUUUGGAGCCGAAGCGAAAGCGAGUCUGAAAAGGGCGAAGAGUUGCAUGACGUAGACCCGAAACCGGGUGACCUAUCCAUGGGCAGGUUGAAGUGGAAGUAAAAUUUCAUGGAGGACCGAACCAGACGUCUGUUGAAAAAGGCGGGGAUGACCUGUGGAUAGCGGAGAAAUUCCAAUCGAACCCGGAGAUAGCUGGUUCUCCUCGAAAUAGCUUUAGGGCUAGCCUCGCAUUAGUUUACCGGAGGUAGAGCACUGAAUGGUCUAGGGGGCCUCACCGCCUACCGAAACCUAUCAAACUGCGAAUGCCGGAUAAAUGAUGUGCGGGAGUCAGGCCGCGAGAGAUAAGUUCCGCGGUCAAAAGGGGAACACCCCAGAUCGUCUGCUAAGGUCCCCAAGUACGCGUUAAGUGGGAAAGGAUGUUGGAUUGCACAGACAACCAGGAUGUUGGCUUAGAAGCAGCCACACAUUCAAAGAGUGCGUAAUAGCUCACUGGUCGAGUGAUCCAGCGCCGAAAAUGUAACGGGGCUAAAACGCGACACCGAAGCAGCGGGAUGCGUAAGCAUCGGUAGAGGAGCAUUGUGUGAGGAUAGAAGCCAGAGCGGGAGCACUGGUGGACUUCACAGAAGAGAGAAUGCCGGUAUGAGUAGCGAGACCCAUGCGAGAAACAUGGGCGUCGAAGGCCCAAGGUUUCCUGGGGAAGGUUCAUCCACCCAGGGUAAGUCGGGACCUAAGCCGAGGACUGAGGUCGUAGGCGAUGGACAGCAGGUAGAGAUUCCUGCACCACUUACACUUGUUUGACGAAGCAGUGACACAGAAGGAUAGGACGAGCGCGGUGAUGGUCAACCGCGUAGGCGGCACGAGGCUGGGGAGCAGUAAAGUACACUUCCCGUGAAGGCUGAGUGCUGACAGGACCGAAAAAGAGUAGGGAAGCGUCUGAGUUCACGCUGGCGAGAAAAGCUGCUAAGGAGAGUGUGAGUGCCCGUACCGGAAACCGACGCAGGUGGGCGAGGAGAGAAUCCUGAGACGGACGGGAGAACUCUUGUUAAGGAACUCGGCAAAAUGACCCCGUAACUUCGGGAGAAGGGGUGCCUCGAAAGAGGCCGCAGAGAAUAGUCACAAGCGACUGUUUAGCAAAAACACAGGUAUCUGCGAAAGCGAGAGCUGACGUAUAGGUGCUGACGCCUGCCCGGUGCUGGAAGGUUAAGGGGAAGUGUUAGGGGAAACCCGAAGCAGAGAACCGAAGCCCCAGUAAACGGCGGCCGUAACUAUAACGGUCCUAAGGUAGCGAAAUUCCUUGUCGGGUAAGUUCCG
Molecule: ribosomal RNA, 1962 nt
Filed under: human gut metagenome
Description: bacterial LSU rRNA
Rfam family: Bacterial large subunit ribosomal RNA
Source: RNAcentral